Molecule: long non-coding RNA, 829 nt
Organism: Mastomys coucha (southern multimammate mouse)
Lineage: Eukaryota; Metazoa; Chordata; Mammalia; Rodentia; Muridae
Exons: 2
Source: RefSeq, a predicted model, not a curated record
CUGGGCAGCCUUCCCGUGGGGGAAUCCCGCUGCCUGGCUUCCAACCUUUGCCCUCCCGAUCGCACACACUGGCGCUGGUGGGGAAAUUGAGGCUGGCGGGGAGGGACUGCAUUCCAGAUGGAGAGAGGGACAAGUGGAUGGAUUUAUGGUGCCGGGGCUUGGAUUUGUGGCAGAGUUUCAAAGACAGGCUGGGCUUUGGGGGCCCCGCCCCGCCGCCCAAGCGCUCCCCUGUGCGGGGCUAGGGGAAGGCAGAGCACACCUCCUCCCUGGGUCUCUUCUCGACGUCGCAUAGAUGACCCGCACUUCGUCUCACUCGCUCCGGCUUCCCAGUGGACAGACUGUAACCUGGGACGGUGAUUUCCAUGGCGCCCGGGCGGCAAGAGAAGCGGUCAACACACAGGAAACACCUGAAGAAAGCUAUUCGGAUGGGCAACAAUGAGUGUCCCAAGCCUGCUGGCCCCGUCUUGCCUUCGUUGUCCCUGCCCUGAGAAACUACAAGGCUGCCUUCUGUGCUCAUCUCGUCACAGAUUAGCUGCCCCUUCUGUGGCCUAAGUCAGGAUCCUUUCCUUCUGACAGUGCAGUGGGUCUCCUCGGGAUCCACAGGUGGGACCUAGACGGUGCAAUUACUGCUGGUUGGCUUUCCCUUGAAGCUGAGGCCAGGGCGGGGUGGGGUGUCAGGGGACUGCGAAGGAUGUCUGAAGAAGAGAUCCAAGCCAGAUGGGUCAUCUUGGAAGUAAUCAAGCCAUAUCCUGUUGCAGUAUCCACCAUCCCCAACUGUCAUUACGUGCCUGGUAGGGAUCUUAGACAAAUAAUAAUUAUAGUUACCACG